Molecule: ribosomal RNA, 330 nt
Filed under: uncultured eukaryote
Lineage: Eukaryota
Description: partial 18S ribosomal RNA
Rfam family: Eukaryotic small subunit ribosomal RNA
Source: RNAcentral
CCCUUAGAUGUUCUGGGCCGCACGCGCGCUACACUGAUGCAUUCAACGAGUCUAAAACCUGGUCUGAUAGGGCUGGGUAAUCUUUUGAAUGUGCAUCGUGAUUGGGAUAGAUGAUUGCAAUUCUUCAUCUUCAACGAGGAAUGCCUAGUAAACGCAAGUCAUCAGCUUGCAUUGAUUACGUCCCUGCCCUUUGUACACACCGCCCGUCGCUCCUACCGAUUGAAUGUUCCGUUGAAUACCAUGGACUGAGAGUAUGAAUGGGUUCGCCUAUUUCUGCUUCUCGGGAAGUGGAGUAAAUCUUAACAUUUAGAGGAAGGAGAAGUCGUAACA